AACCCUUACCGAACUCCAGCCUCAUUCCCAAAGAAGCCGC
Molecule: ribosomal RNA, 40 nt
Filed under: Lotharella globosa
Lineage: Eukaryota; Cercozoa; Chlorarachniophyceae
Source: RNAcentral